RNAcentral lists this ribosomal RNA (656 nucleotides) under uncultured Actinomycetes bacterium. RNAcentral's name for it is "bacterial SSU rRNA". It matches the Rfam family "Bacterial small subunit ribosomal RNA", at positions 232 to 885 of the family's 1533-position model. The record is from RNAcentral. Lineage: Bacteria; Bacillati; Actinomycetota; Actinomycetes.
CGCGGCCUAUCAGCUUGUUGGUGGGGUAACGGCCUACCAAGGCGAUUACGGGUAGCCGGCCUGAGAGGGCGACCGGCCACACUGGGACUGAGACACGGCCCAGACUCCUGCGGGAGGCAGCAGUGGGGAAUAUUGCACAAUGGGCGAAAGCCUGAUGCAGCGACGCCGCGUGGGGGAUGACGGCCUUCGGGUUGUAAACCUCUUUUACCACCAACGCAGGCUCCACGUUUUCGUGGGGUUGACGGUAGGUGGGGAAUAAGGACCGGCUAACUACGUGCCAGCAGCCGCGGUAAUACGUAGGGUCCGAGCGUUGUCCGGAAUUAUUGGGCGUAAAGAGCUCGUAGGCGGCAUGUCGCGUCUGCUGUGAAAGGCCGGGGCUUAACUCCGGUUCUGCAGUGGAUACGGGCAUGCUAGAGGUAGGUAGGGGAAACUGGAAUUCCUGGUGUAGCGGUGAAAUGCGCAGAUAUCAGGAGGAACACCGGUGGCGAAGGCGGGUUUCUGGGCCUUACCUGACGCUGAGGAGCGAAAGCAUGGGGAGCGAACAGGAUUAGAUACCCUGGUAGUCCAUGCCGUAAACGUUGGGCGCUAGGUGUGGGGACUUUCCACGGUUUCCGCGCCGUAGCUAACGCAUUAAGCGCCCCGCCUGGGGAGUACGG